This 259-nucleotide ribosomal RNA is filed under the name uncultured bacterium. RNAcentral describes it as "partial 16S ribosomal RNA". It matches the Rfam family "Bacterial small subunit ribosomal RNA", at positions 793 to 1055 of the family's 1533-position model. The record is from RNAcentral.
GUCCACGCUGUAAACGAUGGGCACUAGGUGUCCGGGUAUUGACCCCUGGGUGCCGCAGCUAACGCAUUAAGUGCCCCGCCUGGGGAGUACGGUCGCAAGAUUAAACUCAAAGGAAUUGACGGGGCCCGCACAAGCGGUGGAGCAUGUGGUUCAAUUCGACGCAACGCGAAGAACCUUACCUGGACUAGACAACAGUGGACCGUCCUAGAAAUAGGAUUUUCCCUCGGGACCGCUGGUUCAGGUGCUGCAUGGCUGUCGU